GAUGAACGCUGGCGGCGUGCCUAAUACAUGCAAGUCGAGCGAACGGAUGAGAAGCUUGCUCCUCUGACGUUAGCGGCGGACGGGUGAGUAACACGUGGAUAACCUACCUAUAAGACUGGGAUAACUUCGGGAAACCGGAGCUAAUACCGGAUAAUAUUUUGAACCGCAUGGUUCAAUAGUGAAAGACGGUCUUGCUGUCACUUAUAGAUGGAUCCGCGCUGCAUUAGCUAGUUGGUAAGGUAACGGCUUACCAAGGCAACGAUGCAUAGCCGACCUGAGAGGGUGAUCGGCCACACUGGAACUGAGACACGGUCCAGACUCCUACGGGAGGCAGCAGUAGGGAAUCUUCCGCAAUGGGCGAAAGCCUGACGGAGCAACGCCGCGUGAGUGAUGAAGGUCUUCGGAUCGUAAAACUCUGUUAUUAGGGAAGAACAAAUGUGUAAGUAACUGUGCACAUCUUGACGGUACCUAAUCAGAAAGCCACGGCUAACUACGUG
RNAcentral lists this ribosomal RNA (497 nucleotides) under uncultured bacterium. RNAcentral's name for it is "partial 16S ribosomal RNA". It matches the Rfam family "Bacterial small subunit ribosomal RNA", at positions 28 to 507 of the family's 1533-position model. The record is from RNAcentral.